This 855-nucleotide long non-coding RNA is filed under the name Prunus dulcis (almond). RNAcentral describes it as "sRNA ncRNA". Lineage: Eukaryota; Viridiplantae; Streptophyta; Magnoliopsida; Rosales; Rosaceae. The record is from RNAcentral.
UGUCAUUUAAAGUAUGGUGCGGCAUUAACGUCCAUACAGCAAUUUAAUUUGUGAAUUUACUUUACAGCAAAUUAACCUACUUUAAAGGGUGGUGCGGGUUUAUCGUCCACGCCUUUACUGUUAUUUAAAUGUAUGGAACAGAAUUAGUGCCCAUACAAGCACGUUUACUUUACCGCACAUUUAAAGUAUGGUGCGGGAUUAACGUCCAUACAAGUAAUUUAUUUACCAGUAAAUUUAUUUUAUGGAUUAAUUGUGCUGUAUGAUGAGUUUUUUACAGUAUACAGAUCAGGACCAGAAGUUCCUUGAUCCUCAUCAUACAUUUACAUCAGGACUUGAAGAUCCUUGAUGAUGAUAUUGAUAUGAGAGCUGGCAGUCUCUCCGGUACUAUAUUUGUAAACAUGUGAUCUGACUUAAGGGUCCUUGAUCCCUGACAUGUGAAUAAGGACCUGGGUUUCCUUAAUGAUGUAACAGUACCGUAUUGGUUAAAAGUGCCGUACACAUGAAUAAUAACUGUACUGGCAAAUGUACUACACAUAUGAAUAGGUAUGUAUUCAUGAUUGAUGAAUAGUACUAUUCACAUGAAUAGUGACGUAUGCAUAAAUAUUAACCAUUUUGGGUAAACCGUCACUAUAUACAAAAAGGGAACCUGUAGUUCCUUGAACUCAUGGAUGAGCAAAGUAAAUGAGAUGCCAGAAGUUCCUCAAAAUAUGGACAAUUAUGUAAGGGCUUGAAGUCCCGAAAUAUGUACAGAAAAUUAUAAAAAUGUCCAUACCAUGAGAAUAUGUGAUUUUGGCCUGAAGUUCAAAAUUUAACAGUGUUGAGAACCUGAAGUUCCAACAAUUAAAUGGACAACCU